This 281-nucleotide long non-coding RNA is filed under the name Trifolium pratense (red clover). RNAcentral's name for it is "long non-coding RNA (TPRA_LNC008558)". Lineage: Eukaryota; Viridiplantae; Streptophyta; Magnoliopsida; Fabales; Fabaceae. The record is from RNAcentral.
AGAAGAAGAAAGUGAGAACGAAAGAGGUUAGGGUUUUGAAAGAGAGAGAAAGUGAAUUGUAUAAGGGGAGAAAGAUAAGUGAGUGGUUUAUAUAAGGAGAGUUUAGUAGGGUUCUAGAUCCUUCUCUGACGAUUGCUUAUUUUUCCGUUGAGAAGAUUUGACUUCUAGAUCCUUCUUUCUGUAUAAUGUGAGUAUGUGACGGACUACGAAUUUUCGUUUGGAGUGGGCAUUGGGCCGAGAUUAUAAUGGGAUCGGAUCGCAUAGUUCACAUUGUUAUUUUC